GGAAAGAGGAGGUAAAUUGCCAAGAAGCUAGUACAUCAGAAGUAAAAGUGAUCUUCGAGACAGUUCACACGAUAUAAGCAAAGAUUUGACAUCCCCAUCAAAUGGAGCUUAAAACCUGUAGGCUGUAGGCUGUAGACCGAAGCAGGCGAUACAAAGCAAGAAACGAAAGCUCUUAACUACAUCUUUAAGCUGUUAGAUCUUUCGUUUCUGUCACUGCUUAUGUAGGAUACAACCACAGUUAUAUCGUCCAGCUUCCCUCCAUAGUAACGGAACCCAGCUUCUUGAGCUGCAGAAGAGAAAGGGGUCUGCCUGUUUUUAUCCUGUGCUCUUUGCCGAGCUAAUGCAGCUAUCUUCUGAGCUGUCACCUGUGGCCCUAAGCCAGCUCUCGUUGCAUGAACGACGAUUGCAUUAAUAUCAUUGUUGUACAAAUUGUCAAACAACCCAUCAGUACCAGCUAUUAUAACAUCUCCUUGUGCCACUGGUAUUUUGAAGACCUC
RNAcentral lists this unclassified non-coding RNA (497 nucleotides) under Hevea brasiliensis (rubber tree). The record is from RNAcentral. Lineage: Eukaryota; Viridiplantae; Streptophyta; Magnoliopsida; Malpighiales; Euphorbiaceae.